AAUCCUUUUCUUGGGGGAUGGGUGUGGUCCUUUGGUGAUUUAGUUGAGGGCAUCACUUGGGGAGAGGGCGUGCUUGGGGUAUUGGCCCCACCUUUUCGGUCCUUUCGUACUAGAAAAAGUUGGUCAUAGAUAGAAACCGACCUGGAUUGCUCCGGUCUGAACUCAGAUCACGUAGGACUGUUAAUCGUUGAACAAACGAACCCUUAGUAGCGACUGCACCACUAGGAUGUCCUGAUCCAACAUCGAGGUCGUAAACCUCCUCGUCGAUAGGGGCUCUUGGGGGAGAUUGCGCUGUUAUCCCUGGGGUAGCUUGGUUCAUUGGUCAAUUUUAUUGGGUCUGGGUGCUUUUGGCACGUUGAGGGGUUGCUCUUGGUUAAGGAGUUUGGCCUUGUUUUUGGAGGGUUUGUUUUUCUCCAAGGUCGCCCCAACCUAAAAAUGUUAGCCAGCUUUUUGUGGUGGUGGGCCCGGUGGGUUUGAAGGGUUGGGUGUGUGGUGGCUAUUGAUUUUAAAGUUCCACAGGGUCUUCUCGUCUUGUGUGUUUAUUCCUGCUUUUGCACAGGGAGAUCAGUUUCACUGAUUGUCUGCAGGAGACAGUUAAGACCUCGUUUAGCCGUUCAUACAAGUCUCGAUUUAUGGGACAAUUGAUUGCGCUACCUUUGCACGGUUAGGAUACCGCGGCCGUNAACGUGGUGUCACUGGGCAGGCAUCACCUUCAAUACUUGUUUGGCUGAAGGCUAUGUUUUUGGUAAACAGUCGGGUCUUGGGGUUUGCCGAGUUCCUUUUGCAGAUUUUGAUCGUCCUAGUUUGUUAUGCGCUCCUGGGUUGGGUUAACAGGGUAUGUUCAAUGUUUGGCGGGGGGGGGGGUGUGGCAUUGAUAGUUAUGCUGUUAAUGGUUUUGUAAGUUGGCGCUUAAGGGGAUAUGUUAUCCUGGUUACUCGUUCUAGCAUUGAUUCAUCUAUUGUCAUAGGUUGGCCUGAUUAUAGGUGUAGGGAUUCAUGUUGUUUUUGGAUUUUUUGGUUUGGGAGCUUUGACGCAUUCUUUUGGGGUGGCUGCUUUAGGGCCUACGGGCUGGACGGGUGGGGUGGGGUUAUCCGCUGGCAGAGGUUGUAUCCUUUUUUAAAGGGGCUGUACCCCCUUUAAAUAGCUCUUAGUCUGUUACAUGGGGGCUUGGAUGAUUUGUUUAGGGGAAGGGACUAAGGGGGAACUUAAAUUCAUUUUUCAGGCAACCAGCUAUCACCCAGCUCGAUUGGCUUUUCACCUCUACUAACAAGUCAUCCCACUCUUUUGCGACAGAGACGGGUUUGUUCAGGGUAACUGCUUGUAAGUAGCUCGCUUGGGUUUCGGGGUGGCAGGCUUAAGUUCGCUUUGUCUGGGUGUUCUUGCUAGAUCAUGAUGCAAGAGGUACAAGGGUAUAUCUUUGCUGUGUAGUGCUUGAUUUUCAUUAUUAUUUCAUCUUUCCCUUGCGGUACUUUUUCUAUAGCGUCCGGGUUGUACUUUUCUAUCGCCUAUACUAAGUUUGGGGGAAUGUUUUGAUUGAAUAGGGCAGUGGAUUUUUGGUAGUGGUUGGUGGAGCUAGGGUAGGCU
RNAcentral lists this ribosomal RNA (1584 nucleotides) under Psittrichas fulgidus. RNAcentral's name for it is "16S ribosomal RNA". The record is from RNAcentral. Lineage: Eukaryota; Metazoa; Chordata; Aves; Psittaciformes; Psittacidae.